This 673-nucleotide ribosomal RNA is filed under the name Nocardioides sp. Its description in RNAcentral is "bacterial SSU rRNA". It matches the Rfam family "Bacterial small subunit ribosomal RNA", at positions 63 to 752 of the family's 1533-position model. Lineage: Bacteria; Bacillati; Actinomycetota; Actinomycetes; Propionibacteriales; Nocardioidaceae. The record is from RNAcentral.
CGAGCGGAAGGCCACUUCGGUGGUACUCGAGCGGCGAACGGGUGAGUAACACGUGAGUAAUCUGCCCUUGGCUUCGGGAUAGCCACCGGAAACGGUGAUUAAUACCGGAUAUGACCACUUCGCGCAUGCGGUGGUGGUGGAAAGUUUUUCGGCCAGGGAUGUGCUCGCGGCCUAUCAGCUUGAUGGUGAGGUAAUGGCUUACCAUGGCUUCGACGGGUAGCCGGCCUGAGAGGGUGACCGGUCACACUGGGACUGAGACACGGCCCAGACUCCUACGGGAGGCAGCAGUGGGGAAUAUUGGACAAUGGGCGGAAGCCUGAUCCAGCAACGCCGCGUGAGGGAUGACGGCCUUCGGGUUGUAAACCUCUUUCGCCUGUGACGAAGCGCAAGUGACGGUAACAGGUAAAGAAGCACCGGCCAACUACGUGCCAGCAGCCGCGGUAAUACGUAGGGUGCGAGCGUUGUCCGGAAUUAUUGGGCGUAAAGGGCUCGUAGGCGGUUUGUCGCGUCGGGAGUGAAAACGCCGUGCUUAACACGGCGCUUGCUUUCGAUACGGGCAGACUAGAGGUAUUCAGGGGAGAACGGAAUUCCUGGUGUAGCGGUGAAAUGCGCAGAUAUCAGGAGGAACACCGGUGGCGAAGGCGGUUCUCUGGGAAUGACCUGACGCUGAGGA